This 35-nucleotide non-coding RNA is filed under the name unclassified sequences. The record is from Rfam.
AUUAAUAACCGAGAUCGUGUAUCUCACAAAUUAAU